AAUCUAUAGAGGCGUUUUCCGCGCCGGACCGCGUCCAAGUCUCUUGGAAUAGAGUAUCAAAGAGGGUGACAAUCCCGUACUUGACGCGACAACCGGUGCUCUGUGAUACGUUCUCAAUGAGUCGAGUUGUUUGGGAAUGCAGCUCUAAAUGGGUGGUAAAUUCCAUCUAAGGCUAAAUAUUGGCGAGAGACCGAUAGCGAACAAGUACCGUGAGGGAAAGAUGAAAAGCACUUUGGAAAGAGAGUUAACAGCACGUGAAAUUGUUAAAAGGGAAACGAUUGAAGUCAGUCGUGUGAAAGGUAUUCAGCCGUCUCUGGCGGUGUAUUUGCCUUUCACGGGUCAACAUCAGUUUGAUCCGGUAGAAAAAGGCGGGAGGAAGGUGGCACCCUCGGGUGUGUUAUAGCCUCCUGUCAUAUGUGCCGGACCAAUCCAUACACACCGUGAACUGUGGCUUCGGGUA
Molecule: ribosomal RNA, 460 nt
Filed under: Vishniacozyma aff. victoriae
Lineage: Eukaryota; Fungi; Basidiomycota; Tremellomycetes; Tremellales; Bulleribasidiaceae
Description: eukaryotic LSU rRNA
Rfam family: Eukaryotic large subunit ribosomal RNA
Source: RNAcentral